GAUGAACGCUAGCGAUAGGCUUAACACAUGCAAGUCGAGGGGCAGCAUGGUCUUAGCUUGCUAAGACUGAUGGCGACCGGCGCACGGGUGCGUAACGCGUAUGCAACUUGCCUCACAGAGGGGGAUAACCCGUCGAAAGACGGACUAAUACCGCGUACACUUGGGAUAGGGCAUCCUGACCCAAGGAAAUGAAAUUCGCUGUGAGAUAGGCAUGCGUCCCAUUAGCUAGUUGGUGAGGUAACGGCUCACCAAGGCGACGAUGGGUAGGGGAACUGAGAGGUUGAACCCCCACACUGGUACUGAGACACGGACUAGACUCCUACGGGAGGCAGCAGUGAGGAAUAUUGGUCAAUGGGCGAGAGCCUGAACCAGCCAAGUCGCGUGAAGGAUGACUGUCUUAUGGAUUGUAAACUUCUUUUAUACGGGAAUAACAAGAGUCACGUGUGGCUCCCUGCAUGUACCGUAUGAAUAAGCAUCGGCUAACUCCGUG
Molecule: ribosomal RNA, 490 nt
Filed under: uncultured bacterium
Lineage: Bacteria
Description: partial 16S ribosomal RNA
Rfam family: Bacterial small subunit ribosomal RNA
Source: RNAcentral